UUUCACAUAUAAGCUAAUAUUUCUUGGGACUUGAAUCUCAGUAAUUUUGUGACAGUAGACUUGUAGUUCUCUAUAAUUGCUUUGCAUUUGUUUCUUUUAGGAAUGUAAAAACAUUAUCUUGGGUGUUUCUCAAUUAUACUAAUAAUGCAGAAUUGAGAUAGUAAGUCACAUAUGAUUCAAGCACAUGAUUAGAAAUUUUUAUUUUCCCUUAUAUUUAAACCUUAGAGAAAAGCUUCCUUGUCACCACCUCCAUGCUACUAAGUUGAUUUUCUUACACUUCACUCUUUUAAAGAUGAUAUAAAGAAUGCAUUUCGGAAGCCUUAGAUUUUAGUACUGGCUGUUUACUGUGUGACCCUAAUUCACAUGGAGCCUUAAUGUCCUUUUUAGAAAUGUUAGAAAACAGUCUAUUGUAUCUAAUGCUAAGAAGAAUAUUCUUCGUUGGACUUAUAGCAAUCCUACUUGUCUUUCCGGUGUGCCUCGAAGACUCUGACCACUCUUCCAUGGGUCAUUUUUCAAGAUUGUUUAUGUACCUGGUGACUUUCGCAGAAGAAACAAAUGCCAGUCACUUUCCAGCCGCCAACACUGAAUUUUGAAAAGGAGGCGAAAUGUUACAAGGCCAACAAAUGCCAGAAGAAUAACGCAAGGAAUCUCACCUCAAACUGAGAGCACAUAGUCAAGCAGUAGCCAUGGGAGACCUGACUCUAAUCUCAGUUUUGUUAAUCUCCCUUAGGUUUCAAAGCAUAACUAAACAAUAAUUAAUUCUUUUCCACACACUGACCUUAGGAAUGAGUGAUACACAUGACUUAUCUACCAAAAUGGAUAUGUUGAGUUUUAGCCCUUCUCCUCCUUUUGCUUUUAGUUAUUUGUCUUUAUUCUAGUAGCUUCUCUAGCGUCCCAAACUGCUGAAAUCUGUUGUUGUGUGUGGGGAUUAUCAGUAAACCAGCUUUCAAUUACCACACAAAGUUAUACAACGAUGAUAUUAGUAAUAAAUAUACAAAUGUAACAAUAAAAAUCUUUUUACCGUGCUUGCUAAAUUUCAGACAUUGUGUUAAGGACUUUACAUAUAUGAUCCCUUUUACUUUUCACAACAACUCUAUGAAGUAUUAGAAUCUCUGUUGAGCAGAUGAACAGAUUAAAAAUGAAAAAAUAAAUUGCCUCAUAGUUCACAACUAGUAAGUGGAAGAGCUUUUCCUCAAACCUAUACGUAUCUAAUGUUGAAGGCUGCUUUUACUAUUACAUUCCACGGUGUCCUAAUAAAAUAAAUCACAUUUUUUGUCACUUGAGGGCUCUAAGAAAAGUCUAUUUUAGCACUAAAUAUUAGAGGACAAGAAUAUUUGUGGUUUACUUUAAGUAGUUUGAAGGAUGCUUCAUGUGAGUGAUCUGGAUUUUGCUAUUUAUAAAUCACAUGUUGACUACUGCAAGAAUUCCUAGUGGGUGGAGAAAAUCCUGGGCCCCCAAAGUUGACUUCUCAGCUACAAGAAUCUUUAGUUCUCACCACCUGUCCACACCGCCACUUCCUUUCUUCUAAAGAUCCGACUGGGGCCUUCUCGUUCAGAAAAGUCUUUACAUUGCCUUCCACUUGUUUAGA
RNAcentral lists this long non-coding RNA (1588 nucleotides) under Capra hircus (goat). RNAcentral describes it as "lncRNA (ENSCHIG00010017824.1)". The record is from RNAcentral. Lineage: Eukaryota; Metazoa; Chordata; Mammalia; Artiodactyla; Bovidae.